Vombatus ursinus (common wombat) is the source of this 1296-nucleotide long non-coding RNA. RefSeq lists it as uncharacterized. The transcript is spliced from 5 exons. The record is from RefSeq and is a predicted model, not a curated record. NCBI's taxonomy places the organism in Eukaryota, Metazoa, Chordata, Mammalia, Diprotodontia, Vombatidae.
CUGGUGAGCAAAGGUCACCGCUCAGGUCCCCAGCCUGGGCUCCUGCUCCGAGGGCCUGCAGCUGAGGAAAGAGGAGCCCGCACAGCACCAGGCAGAUGGCAGGGAUGGGUCCCCCAGGCCUAGCCAUGGCCAUCCUGCUGGGGCUGGUGGGGGCCACCCUGGCAUCUGAGAAUGGGACAGGAAUCUGCCAGCCAGCCCCAAAGUGGCAAGUGGACGGAGGCACAUCCCCCAUGGAGGAAGCCCUGGGCCAAGUGACAGUGGUGGCCCUCCUGAAGGCCAGCUGACACUUCUGUCUCAAGCAAGCUGCCAGCAUAGGCAACUUGCAGGAGCGCCUGGCCCGCGUGGGUGCUGCCGGUGUUCGCUUCAUCAUAGUCAAUGAGAAGUCGCCUCUGUCCCAGGCCCUGCAUGGAGAGCUGGAACUCCACGCACCCCCGGGCAUACCCGUCUACCGCCAGCAAGGGCCUGGCCCUGACAUCUGGAGCAUCCUUGGGGGCACCAAGGAUGACUUCCUUGUCUAUGACAGGUGUGGCCGCCUGACAUUCCACGUCCAGCUGCCCUUUAGUUUCCUGCACUUCCCCUACGUGGAAUCGGCCAUUCGAUUCACCCACUGGCAAGAUCACUGUGGGAACUGUUCUUUCUACUCCACCCAGGUGAACAGCACAGACGAGGGGAAGGCUGAGUCGCCCACUCAGUCCCCUAGCCUAGAAGGAGAAGGGCAGGAGCCCCUGGCUGAGGGGCCCAGCACCCACAGGCCGACUCUGUUGUCUAGCACCCUUCACACAGCCCACGCCCAUGGUCCUGUCCACAGCCACGGCAAAAGGCCAUCACUUGGCCACAGUCUAGAGCAGCCCCCCAAGGAAGAGGCCACUGGAUAACCCUCCCAUGGCCAUGGUCACGGCCAGGUCCCCACUCCACAGGCUGGCCCCAAGAGGGCCACCAACCUCACUCCCAACCUCAUCCUCUGUCAAUCUGGCCCAUUUCAGAGAGAGGAAAAACUGAGGUGUCCCUGGGGUCAAGGUCACCGUGGAACAAACCCAUCUGUCUCCAUCAAGACUGCGCCCUGCUUGCCUGUGGUGUUGGCUAGCUUUGCAUUUCACCCGCUGCCCUUUCCUCCCUCAAUUAAUGAUGCCCACAGUGAAACCCGGAGAUCCGGCCAUGGUGGGCUGAUGCCGUGUAGAGUGGGGGAAUGAGGAAGAGGCUCCAUUGUCCAUACCCAGGCAUGACUGCAAGCCAAGAUGGGGGUGCUCAGAGGAGUGGAGGGCUUGGAGAAAUGGUCAAUAAACUUCUCUCCCCAGA